RNAcentral lists this ribosomal RNA (402 nucleotides) under uncultured bacterium. Its description in RNAcentral is "bacterial SSU rRNA". It matches the Rfam family "Bacterial small subunit ribosomal RNA", at positions 29 to 416 of the family's 1533-position model. The record is from RNAcentral.
AAUCAACGCUGGCGGCGUGCCUAACACAUGCAAGUCGAACGCGAAAAUCCCGCAAGGGAUUAGUAGAGUGGCAAACGGGUGAGUAACACGUGGGUGACCUGCCUUCGAGUGGGGGAUAACGUCCCGAAAGGGACGCUAAUACCGCAUGACAUCCUGUCUUUGGAAAGACGGAGAUCAAAGCUGGGGAUUCGCAAGAACCUGGCGCCUGAAGAGGGGCCCGCGCCUGAUUAGCAGUUGGUGGGGUAACGGCCUACCAAGGCGACGAUCAGUAUCCGGCCUGAGAGGGCGGACGGACACACUGGGACUGAGACACGGCCCAGACUCCUACGGGAGGCAGCAGUGGGGAAUUGUUCGCAAUGGGCGAAAGCCUGACGACGCAACGCCGCGUGGAGGACGAAGAUC